CUUAGUGGCGGACGGGUGAGUAACGCGUGGGUAACCUGCCUUAUACAGGGGGAUAACACCUAGAAAUAGGUGCUAAUACCGCAUAAGCGCACGGGGCUGCAUGGCCCAGUGUGAAAAACUCCGGUGGUAUAAGAUGGACCCGCGUCUGAUUAGCUUGUUGGCGGGGUAACGGCCCACCAAGGCGACGAUCAGUAGCCGGCCUGAGAGGGUGGACGGCCACAUUGGGACUGAGACACGGCCCAAACUCCUACGGGAGGCAGCAG
Molecule: ribosomal RNA, 263 nt
Filed under: uncultured bacterium
Lineage: Bacteria
Description: partial 16S ribosomal RNA
Rfam family: Bacterial small subunit ribosomal RNA
Source: RNAcentral